CCGAGUUCUUACAGAACCCAACCCUGUGUGAUAAGUUCUCACCCGAACUUUUCCACUACAGGUCUCGGUCCACGGGCAGGCAGCGCCGGCCGCGGUGGACUUCGAGGCACCUGUAGGAAACCCAAACCUCUGUAUCAUUAACACAAAUAUCUGAGCGACUUUACAUAAAGAGUCA
This 175-nucleotide unclassified non-coding RNA is filed under the name uncultured Podospora. RNAcentral describes it as "sequence contains ITS1". The record is from RNAcentral. Lineage: Eukaryota; Fungi; Ascomycota; Sordariomycetes; Sordariales; Lasiosphaeriaceae.